This 497-nucleotide ribosomal RNA is filed under the name uncultured bacterium. RNAcentral's name for it is "partial 16S ribosomal RNA". It matches the Rfam family "Bacterial small subunit ribosomal RNA", at positions 28 to 507 of the family's 1533-position model. The record is from RNAcentral.
GAUGAACGCUGGCGGCGUGCCUAAUACAUGCAAGUCGAGCGAACAGACGAGGAGCUUGCUCCUCUGACGUUAGCGGCGGACGGGGGAGUAACACGUGGAUAACCUACCUAUAAGACUGGGAUAACUUCGGGAAACCGGAGCUAAUACCGGAUAAUAUAUUGAACCGCAUGGUUCAAUAGUGAAAGACGGUUUUGCUGUCACUGAUAGAUGGAUCCGCGCCGCAUUAGCUAGUUGGUAAGGUAACGGCUUACCAAGGCAACGAUGCGUAGCCGACCUGAGAGGGUGAUCGGCCACACUGGAACUGAGACACGGUCCAGACUCCUACGGGAGGCAGCAGUAGGGAAUCUUCCGCAAUGGGCGAAAGCCUGACGGAGCAACGCCGCGUGAGUGAUGAAGGUCUUCGGAUCGUAAAACUCUGUUAUUAGGGAAGAACAAAUGUGUAAGUAACUAUGCACGUCUUGACGGUACCUAAUCAGAAAGCCACGGCUAACUACGUG